This 320-nucleotide unclassified non-coding RNA is filed under the name fungal sp. Its description in RNAcentral is "partial internal transcribed spacer region". The stretch from base 1 to 46 matches the Rfam family "Eukaryotic small subunit ribosomal RNA", at positions 1786 to 1831 of the family's 1831-position model. The record is from RNAcentral. Lineage: Eukaryota; Fungi.
AAGUCGUAACAAGGUUUCCGUAGGUGAACCUGCGGAAGGAUCAUUAACACGUGUUCCACGUAUAAACCACUGUGCACUCGUUCCGUACUGCGGGCGGUAAACCUUUGUGAAGGGGAAUCUGAAAGGAUUUUCCUUUGCGGAGGUGGUCUCGUCCUGUCUUCGGACCCCUUUCUUUUUCAUUAAGGAUUGGGUGCCUUAGGCGUUUUACUAUUAACCUUUCUUUAAUACUUUGUCUAAACUUACUGUUGAUUCAGCGAAAGCUGGUCGACAAUAUCUAUUUAACGAUAGAACAACUCUUAGCAACGGAUAUCUUGGUUCUC